RNAcentral lists this unclassified non-coding RNA (526 nucleotides) under Monomorium pharaonis (pharaoh ant). Its description in RNAcentral is "uncharacterized LOC118648062, transcript variant X2". The record is from RNAcentral. Lineage: Eukaryota; Metazoa; Arthropoda; Insecta; Hymenoptera; Formicidae.
UAAAUAUUAAACUUUAUGAGAUUAUUAAUUUACCCAGAUAACCAAAUCUGAAAAAGCAGAGUCCCACACAGCGGAUUCAUGGCCAACUGUGUCUGCAUUGGGCUUGUGUUUUGUAGACAGAAUCUGCUGAACAAAAUCUGACAGCAUAUUGGCGGCAGAAAAGCAGCAGAUCUGUGCAUCGAAUGCGGUCUCUGUCUGCGGAACGCAAGCUUGGUGCGGACACAGUAGGCUGUGACUUUGCUGUGGGAUUCUACUUUUGCAGGUUUGGUUAUCUAGGAGGCAGAUGUUAAAAGCAUUGGCGGCUGAACAAAGUACAACGGUAUCUAACGAUACUAACGACGAAUCUGUCAGUUGUCAGGAUUCCAUGCAAUUACUGCCCGACUCGAUGGAUUCGACGUUCAGUACUGGAGAUACACUGUGCUUACAGCCAAUAUCAAUAAUUAAAGGUGAGUGCAAAAAUGUACAAAAAUGUAAAGACAAUAACCUUGUCAUAGAAAAAAACAAGCCUUGUAGAUACUGAUCGUAU